UUCGACACACUAUCAUUAACUGAAUCCAUAGGUUAAUGAGGCGAACCGGGGGAACUGAAACAUCUAAGUACCCCGAGGAAAAGAAAUCAACCGAGAUUCCCCCAGUAGCGGCGAGCGAACGGGGAGGAGCCCAGAGCCUGAAUCAGUGUGUGUGUUAGUGGAAGCGUCUGGAAAGGCGCGCGAUACAGGGUGACAGCCCCGUACACAAAAAUGCACAUAUUGUGAGCUCGAUGAGUAGGGCGGGACACGUGGUAUCCUGUCUGAAUAUGGGGGGACCAUCCUCCAAGGCUAAAUACUCCUGACUGACCGAUAGUGAACCAGUACCGUGAGGGAAAGGCGAAAAGAACCCCGGCGAGGGGAGUGAAAAAGAACCUGAAACCGUGUACGUACAAGCAGUGGGAGCCUCUUAAUGGGGUGACUGCGUACCUUUUGUAUAAUGGGUCAGCGACUUAUAUUCUGUAGCAAGGUUAACCGAAUAGGGGAGCCGAAGGGAAACCGAGUCUUAACUGGGCGUUAAGUUGCAGGGUAUAGACCCGAAACCCGGUGAUCUAGCCAUGGGCAGGUUGAAGGUUGGGUAACACUAACUGGAGGACCGAACCGACUAAUGUUGAAAAAUUAGCGGAUGACUUGUGGCUGGGGGUGAAAGGCCAAUCAAACCGGGAGAUAGCUGGUUCUCCCCGAAAGCUAUUUAGGUAGCGCCUCGUGAAUUCAUCUCCGGGGGUAGAGCACUGUUUCGGCAAGGGGGUCAUCCCGACUUACCAACCCGAUGCAAACUGCGAAUACCGGAGAAUGUUAUCACGGGAGACACACGGCGGGUGCUAACGUCCGUCGUGAAGAGGGAAACAACCCAGACCGCCAGCUAAGGUCCCAAAGUCAUGGUUAAGUGGGAAACGAUGUGGGAAGGCCCAGACAGCCAGGAUGUUGGCUUAGAAGCAGCCAUCAUUUAAAGAAAGCGUAAUAGCUCACUGGUCGAGUCGGCCUGCGCGGAAGAUGUAACGGGGCUAAACCAUGCACCGAAGCUGCGGCAGCGACACUAUGUGUUGUUGGGUAGGGGAGCGUUCUGUAAGCCUGUGAAGGUGGCCUGUGAGGGUUGCUGGAGGUAUCAGAAGUGCGAAUGCUGACAUAAGUAACGAUAAAGCGGGUGAAAAGCCCGCUCGCCGGAAGACCAAGGGUUCCUGUCCAACGUUAAUCGGGGCAGGGUGAGUCGACCCCUAAGGCGAGGCCGAAAGGCGUAGUCGAUGGGAAACAGGUUAAUAUUCCUGUACUUGGUGUUACUGCGAAGGGGGGACGGAGAAGGCUAUGUUGGCCGGGCGACGGUUGUCCCGGUUUAAGCGUGUAGGCUGGUUUUCCAGGCAAAUCCGGAAAAUCAAGGCUGAGGCGUGAUGACGAGGCACUACGGUGCUGAAGCGACAAAUGCCCUGCUUCCAGGAAAAGCCUCUAAGCAUCAGGUAACAUCAAAUCGUACCCCAAACCGACACAGGUGGUCAGGUAGAGAAUACCAAGGCGCUUGAGAGAACUCGGGUGAAGGAACUAGGCAAAAUGGUGCCGUAACUUCGGGAGAAGGCACGCUGAUAUGUAGGUGAAGCGACUUGCUCGUGGAGCUGAAAUCAGUCGAAGAUACCAGCUGGCUGCAACUGUUUAUUAAAAACACAGCACUGUGCAAACACGAAAGUGGACGUAUACGGUGUGACGCCUGCCCGGUGCCGGAAGGUUAAUUGAUGGGGUUAGCGGUAACGCGAAGCUCUUGAUCGAAGCCCCGGUAAACGGCGGCCGUAACUAUAACGGUCCUAAGGUAGCGAAAUUCCUUGUCGGGUAAGUUCCGACCUGCACGAAUGGCGUAAUGAUGGCCAGGCUGUCUCCACCCGAGACUCAGUGAAAUUGAACUCGCUGUGAAGAUGCAGUGUACCCGCGGCAAGACGGAAAGACCCCGUGAACCUUUACUAUAGCUUGACACUGAACAUUGAGCCUUGAUGUGUAGGAUAGGUGGGAGGCUUUGAAGUGUGGACGCCAGUCUGCAUGGAGCCGACCUUGAAAUACCACCCUUUAAUGUUUGAUGUUCUAACGUGGGCCCCUUACCGGGGUUGCGGACAGUGUCUGGUGGGUAGUUUGACUGGGGCGGUCUCCUCCUAAAGAGUAACGGAGGAGCACGAAGGUUGGCUAAUCCUGGUCGGACAUCAGGAGGUUAGUGCAAUGGCAUAAGCCAGCUUGACUGCGAGCGUGACGGCGCGAGCAGGUGCGAAAGCAGGUCAUAGUGAUCCGGUGGUUCUGAAUGGAAGGGCCAUCGCUCAACGGAUAAAAGGUACUCCGGGGAUAACAGGCUGAUACCGCCCAAGAGUUCAUAUCGACGGCGGUGUUUGGCACCUCGAUGUCGGCUCAUCACAUCCUGGGGCUGAAGUAGGUCCCAAGGGUAUGGCUGUUCGCCAUUUAAAGUGGUACGCGAGCUGGGUUUAGAACGUCGUGAGACAGUUCGGUCCCUAUCUGCCGUGGGCGCUGGAGAACUGAGGGGGGCUGCUCCUAGUACGAGAGGACCGGAGUGGACGCAUCACUGGUGUUCGGGUUGUCAUGCCAAUGGCACUGCCCGGUAGCUAAAUGCGGAAGAGAUAAGUGCUGAAAGCAUCUAAGCACGAAACUUGCCCCGAGAUGAGUUCUCCCUGACUCCUUGAGAGUCCUGAAGGAACGUUGAAGACGACGACGUUGAUAGGCCGGGUGUGUAAGCGCAGCGAUGCGUUGAGCUAACCGGUACUAAUGAACCGUGAGGCUUAACCUUACAACGCCGAAG
RNAcentral lists this ribosomal RNA (2779 nucleotides) under Escherichia coli. RNAcentral's name for it is "partial 23S ribosomal RNA". It matches the Rfam family "Bacterial large subunit ribosomal RNA". RNAcentral also lists the same sequence under 1 other name. Lineage: Bacteria; Pseudomonadati; Pseudomonadota; Gammaproteobacteria; Enterobacterales; Enterobacteriaceae. The record is from RNAcentral.